AAAUUUGUGUUAAUAAUAAAAUUGAAAAAAUUACAAAAAAAAUCAUUUUUAUUUCAUUGAAUCUUAGAGAAUAAGUUAAAACUUUUAGGAAAAACAAUCAAUGAGGAAUGGUUAAAUAUGAUCACUAAAUCAAAUUAAAUAUAUUUUAUUGAUUAGUUUGAAAACGUAAUUUUUAAAUAUAAAUAAAAGUCUUCUAUACACACAAAAAAAAAACAAGAUAAAAUAAAAAAAUAUCAUCAAAAUCAU
Molecule: long non-coding RNA, 246 nt
Filed under: Lathyrus oleraceus (garden pea)
Lineage: Eukaryota; Viridiplantae; Streptophyta; Magnoliopsida; Fabales; Fabaceae
Description: Pisum sativum (pea) long non-coding RNA (PSAT_LNC026008)
Source: RNAcentral